This 393-nucleotide ribosomal RNA is filed under the name uncultured bacterium. RNAcentral's name for it is "partial 16S ribosomal RNA". It matches the Rfam family "Bacterial small subunit ribosomal RNA", at positions 523 to 918 of the family's 1533-position model. The record is from RNAcentral.
AUACGGAGGAUGCAAGCGUUAUCCGGAUUUAUUGGGUUUAAAGGGUGCGUAGGCGGUUUGCUAAGCGGGAGGUGAAAUGCCGGCGCUCAACGUCGGAAGUGCCUCCCGAACUGGUGGACUUGAAUGACUCUGCCGUGGGAGGAAUGUGUAGUGUAGCGGUGAAAUGCUUAGAGAUUACACAGAACACCGAUUGCGAAGGCAUCUCACGAAGGGUUGAUUGACGCUGAGGCACGAAAGCGUGGGGAUCAAACAGGAUUAGAUACCCUGGUAGUCCACGCAGUAAACGAUGAUGGCUAACCGCUGGGCUUAUCAGUUCAGUGGCCAAGCGAAAGCGAUAAGCCAUCCGCCUGGGGAGUACGACCGCAAGGUUGAAACUCAAAUGAAUUGACGGGG